RNAcentral lists this long non-coding RNA (1389 nucleotides) under Cairina moschata (Muscovy duck). RNAcentral's name for it is "domestica (muscovy Duck (domestic type)) lncRNA (ENSCMMG00000007278.1)". Lineage: Eukaryota; Metazoa; Chordata; Aves; Anseriformes; Anatidae. The record is from RNAcentral.
AGAUGCUGCUGAUCUGCUAUGCCGCUGAACGCAAGACGAGACGUGUCAGAAGUUGCUGCCCUGCUCAAGCUUCAGUCAUAUAACCCCUUCCCAUCAGCUGGGCCAGCAGAACCGAACCUCCUGGCUGUGCUCUCAGCCCCACCAGACGUGCCCAUGUAAAGCUCCUUCUCCGCAGCACCCGCAGACGGCCUGCGUAGGUAUGCGCAGGCCCCUCUCACACUAGCCUUGAAGGACGUCACCUCGUGGCACUCAUCCAAAAUAAGGAUUUUUCACACUUGAGCAGAGGGAAGAGAAAUGGAAGGGAGAAGCUGGAGGUGGAGGGGCAAGGCUGUCAAAGGAACACCCACCUGCUGAUGUACCUCCCUGAUGGAUGCCCAUAACCCACCUGCUGAUGUACCUCCCUGAUGGGUGCCCAUAACCCACCUGCUGAUGUACCUCCCUGAUGGGUGCCCAUAACCACAUCCUGGGAGCAGCAUCCCCUGCAGCCUGCCGAUGGGUCUCCUCCCCAGGGCAAAGCCUGCCUUCAUUUUCCAGGGAUCAGAUGGUGGCUGCCAAGCAAGUUACUCGCCCAGCCUGGAGAAGUUUUUCCCUUUGCUUUUGAGUACAUCUCCUCUACAGGUUUCUGGAUUCAUCGAUGAAGUUAUCUGCUGAUUUAACAGUGUUUGUGAAUUGAAAUCAGCAUCUACAGAGCCCACGCAGACGCUCCCCUCUCCCGCCACCCGUUCCCCCCAGUGCAGCCACGCAGGCAGUGUUGCCAUAAGCCAGCGCCACUUUUGUGCCAGCUUUUCAAUGGGAAGAGGUUUUGGCUUCUCGCUGCCAUCCGCUUGCUGCUAAUAGUAGCACUGCUCUGUCCCUAACUGUCUUUCCACAAGAGCUUAAAGCAUAAAACUUAAUGUCCCAUGAGGAAAUGCGCACCAGUUCGGGCCCAUCUCAUCUGGAUUAAAGAUGUCUUUUGCUUCAGUCUUUCAUAAGGCGAGGGAGAACUUACAUUACCCAGAUCUCAGCGGCAGACCCAUGUGUGUGUUUUUCACCAGGCUGUCACUUGGACUGUUUCACAUUACAGCCUCCCGUCUCUGGCCAUUGAUUUGCACUGUGGUUAUCAUUGGAAGGGAAACCUAUCUGACUGGAAGGGUACAAGGCAUUGUUCUGACUCAAUCAUGACCGCAGCCUUCAGCGGCACCAAGACCCCAAGCUGGACCGUCAGCAUUCAGAAGGGGCUCGGCUCCAUCAGCUCUGGUGCCGGGAUCCUGACUCGCAGCAGGUGAUAACCUAACCCUCACUUUCUUACAUUUCCAAAUGCAAGUUACUCUGAAACCUGGGGGCUUCCCACCUGACAGCGACUGUUCUGGUUGCUUUUUUUUCCCCGCCACACUUACACAGUCAGCGAGG